UUCCUAUCGUAGGGGAGGCAGCGGUAUGGAAUACAGGUCAAGGGAGGCAACUGUGAACCAGCCAUGCCGGGUGCAGGAAGACAGCCCUCUGGGUCGUAAACUGCUUUUAUUGGGGAAUAAACCUAUCUACGGUAGAUAGCUGAAGACGAAG
Molecule: ribosomal RNA, 151 nt
Filed under: Sphingobacterium sp. NC102
Lineage: Bacteria; Pseudomonadati; Bacteroidota; Sphingobacteriia; Sphingobacteriales; Sphingobacteriaceae
Description: partial 16S ribosomal RNA
Source: RNAcentral